RNAcentral lists this ribosomal RNA (914 nucleotides) under uncultured marine archaeon DCM875. RNAcentral's name for it is "bacterial SSU rRNA". It matches the Rfam family "Archaeal small subunit ribosomal RNA", at positions 1 to 922 of the family's 1478-position model. The record is from RNAcentral.
UUCCGGUUGAUCCUGCCGGAGGCGACCGUUAUUGGAAUUCGAUUAAGCCAUGCGAGUCGAGAGUCUAAAGGACUCGGCGUACCGCUCAGUAACACGUGGGUAACCUGCCCUGUGCUGGGGAAUAACCUCGGGAAACUGAGAAUAAUGCCCCAUAGAACACUACGCCUGGAACGGUGGGUGGAUCAAAGCUCCGGCGGCACAGGAUGGGCCUGCGGCGUAUCAGGUCGUAGGGGGUGUAAUGUACCCUCUAGCCUUCAACGCGUACGGGUUGUGGGAGCAAUCGCCCGGAGAUGGAUUCUGAGACACGAAUCCAGACCCUACGGGGUGCAGCAGGCGCGAAAACUUCACACUGCAGGAAACUGUGAUGAGGGAAUUCCAGGUGGUUAGACAAAGUCUAGCCUCUGACCAACUUUUAAUCGGUUGGUGUAGAAGGGGUGGGAAAGACCGGUGCCAGCCGCCGCGGUAAUACCGGCACCUCAAGUGGUCGUCGCUUUUAUUGGGCCUAAAACGUCCGUCGCCUGUUUGGUACAUUCGUGGGUAAAUCAAGCCGCUUAACGGCUUGAAUUCUGCGAGGACGGCCAGACUAGGGACCGGGAGAGGUAUGGGGUACUCUCAGGGUAGGGGUAAAAUCCAGUCAUCCUGAGGGGACCACCUGUUGCGAAGGCGCCAUACUAGAACGGAUCCGACGGUCAGGGACGAAGCCUAGGGGCACGAACCGGAUUAGAUACCCGGGUAGUCCUAGGUGUAAACGCUGUGGACUUGGUGUUGGGGACUCUACGAGUGUCCCCAGUGCCGGAGUGAAGAUGUUAAGUCCNCUGCCUGGGGAGUACGGUCGCAAGGCUGAAACUUAAAGGAAUUGGCGGGGGAGCACAGCAACGAGAGGAGCGUGCGGUUUAAUUGGAUUCAACGCCGGG